CCGGCACGGGUGAGUAACACGUAUCCAACCUGCCGUCUACUCUUGGACAGCCUUCUGAAAGGAAGAUUAAUACAAGAUGGCAUCAUGAGCCCACAUGUUCACAUGAUUAAAGGUAUCCCGGUAGACGAUGGGGAUGCGUUCCAUUAGAUAGUAGGCGGGGUAACGGCCCACCUAGUCUUCGAUGGAUAGGGGUUCUGAGAGGAAGGUCCCCCACAUUGGAACUGAGACACGGUCCAA
Molecule: ribosomal RNA, 237 nt
Filed under: uncultured bacterium
Lineage: Bacteria
Description: partial 16S ribosomal RNA
Rfam family: Bacterial small subunit ribosomal RNA
Source: RNAcentral